This is a long non-coding RNA of Planococcus citri (citrus mealybug), 1261 nucleotides long. RefSeq lists it as uncharacterized. The record is from RefSeq and is a predicted model, not a curated record. NCBI's taxonomy places the organism in Eukaryota, Metazoa, Arthropoda, Insecta, Hemiptera, Pseudococcidae. The transcript is spliced from 3 exons.
GAUGCACUAGGUCGAGUCCAGCAGUCCUACACCAAUACAUACACAUAGCGAUCUCUCUCCCUAUCAUUUUUUCUCCUUUCAUUGUACUGACGAGAAGUAGCCUGGGUGCUACAAGUCAAAUGAUUUAGUUUGGUUUGUCUACGUCUACUGGUGUAUAGUGACUCCUAAGGUUUCUCUUGUGUUGAGUUUUCUUGAUGUUGUGAUAUAGUAUAACUUGGAUUCGAAAGACAGCCGGUUAUAAAAUAUUGGAUAUCCGCGUUGAACACAGUAAAAACAUAAUAAGUUCAAUUUAGUGAUAUAUUUGGCAAAAGGACGAUGACGGACUCGAGGAAUAACAACAGAGAGAUGCAAGAAUCACAAGAAGACCGGAUUGAAGCGGGGAUAACAAGACUAGAAAGAAAAGUCGCUGAAAUUCAAAAGGGUAUGAUUAAACUUGAAGAAUUAAUAGAGCUAGUUCUUAUUCGAGUGGAAGAACUAAUGAGUAAGAAGCAAUAAAAGAGUACUAUCAAUUAUGUAUAUUUGUAUAACUCAUCACUCUCAUCAGUUAAUUAUGUUUUUUAUCUUAAUUUAUAAUUUCUCAAUCGAUCGUUUGUUUAAUUUUGAAUUUCUUAAUUGGUUUUUUCUGAAAUUUUUAACACGGUUUUGUAUUUUUUUUUUUCACUGUCAAUUACUUACUUUACCUACUUUACUUACGAGAGGAGAAUGCUUAAAAAAAAAAGUGAAAAUUUGAGAAAAUUAUCAUUUUGAUAUUUUUACAAACACAAUAUUAAUAGUAAACAUCUUCGAAUUACGAUAGUUGGAUUAAAAUUGGUUAGAAACGUGCCCAGUGUGAUCAUAUAUCAGGGUAAACAUUGUCAAAUGAUUUUUUUUUCUUUUUUUUACGUGUCGUUAUUUUUCAUAUUCGUAAUUUCGUGCUAUAAAAUAUAUCGUCAGUUGUUUUUAUUUUUAGUGAUGAUUUUUUUCAAAUAAGUACCUACCUACCUAGUGAUUUUUUUUAUAUCGACGAUUAGUUAGAAUUAUUAGGUACCUGAGAAGCUCGUGCAGGCAUUCGAGCCUCAUUGCUUCGCUCUUGCUGUAUUAAAAUAAUUUUUUUUUCAAUUCAACUAAGUUUUCAAACGUUUUUAAUUAGUGCGUGUAAUUUUAUUUCUGAUAUAGUACUCGUAAUUAAAAUAUGAGAUUAUUUGUAAAAAGAUUUCUUCGAUCGAUAAUAUCUAUUGAAAAAAUGUAAAAAAAAUGUAUACAUAAAUACCUAUAUUUCAAA